AACUAACAAACUAAUAAUGAGUUGCAAGUUUAGACAUGAACAGAAUGACAGUGUAAAGGCUGAAUCAAAGAGAAUGAAAGACAGAGGAAGGAAAGAAAGAUUGAAAGAAAGUUGUAGAGAAAGAUUAAGAACCAAAUUAGGAAAUGCUGCCUAAAAGAGAAAGAAAGAAAAAAAGAAAGAAAGAGAAAGAAAGGAAUGAAAAAGAAAGAAAGAAGAAAGGAAUGAAAAAGAAAGAAAGAAGAAAGGAAUGAAAAAGAAAGAAAGAAGAAAGGAAUGAAAAAGAAAGAAGAAAGGAAUGAAAAAGAAAGAAAGAAGAAAGGAAUGAAAAAGAAAGAAAGAAGGAAGGAAUGAAAAAAUAAGAAAGAAGAAAGGAAUGAAAAAGAUAGAAAGAAGAAAGGAAUGAAAAAGAUAGAAAGAAGAAAGGAAUGAAAAAGAUAGAAAGAAAUUAAACAAAAGAAAGCUUACUAACAAACAAAUAAUGAGGUGCAAGUUCAGACAUAAACAGAAUGACAGUGUAAAGGCUGCAUUAGAGAGAAAGAAUAAAAAAGAAAGAAAGACGAGGAAAGGAAAGAAAAAAAAUUGAAAGAAAGAGAAAUUAAAUCAAAUUAGUAAAUGCUGCUUCAAAAAGACUGAAAGAAAGAUAUAAAGAAAGGAAUAAAAUAAAAGAAAGCUGACUAACAAACAAAUGAGGUGCAAGUUCAGACAUGAACAGAAUGACAGUGUAAAGGCUGCAUCAAAAAGAAAGAAAGAAUGAAAAAAGAAAGAAUGAAAGAAAGAUGGAGAGAAAGAAAGAAAUUAAACCAAAUUAGGAAAUGCUGCCUCAAAGAGAAAGAAAGAAAAAAAGACAGACAGACAGAGGAAGGAAAGAAAGAUUGAAAGAAAG
Molecule: non-coding RNA, 883 nt
Organism: Misgurnus anguillicaudatus (oriental weatherfish)
Lineage: Eukaryota; Metazoa; Chordata; Actinopteri; Cypriniformes; Cobitidae
Source: RefSeq, a predicted model, not a curated record